Molecule: ribosomal RNA, 467 nt
Filed under: uncultured bacterium
Lineage: Bacteria
Description: partial 16S ribosomal RNA
Rfam family: Bacterial small subunit ribosomal RNA
Source: RNAcentral
GACGAACGCUGGCGGCGUGCUUAACACAUGCAAGUCGAACGGAAAGGCCUCUUUCGGGGUGUACUCGAGUUGCGAACGGGCGAGUAACACGCGAGUAACCUGCCUUCGUCUUUGGGUUAACUUCAGGAAACUGGGGCUAGUACCGGAUAGGAGCUCCUGCGGCAUGGUGGGGGCUGGAGAGUUUCGCCGGUUGGGGAUGGGUUGGCGGCUUAUCGGCUUGUUAGUGGGGAAGUGGUUUACCAAGGUGUUGACGGGUAGCCGGACUGUGAGGGUGACCGGCGAUACUGAGACCUAGGUGCGGCCCAGACAGCGAAGGGUGGCAGCAGUGGGGAAUAUUGACGGAUGGGUGGAAGCCUGAUGCAGAAACGCCGCGGGUGGGAUGACGGCCUUAGGGUUGUAAACCGCUUUCGCUAGUGACGAAGCUUUGUGUGACGGUAGUGGGUAAAGAAGCAACGGCUAACUACGUG